Molecule: long non-coding RNA, 24606 nt
Filed under: Oryza sativa (Asian cultivated rice)
Lineage: Eukaryota; Viridiplantae; Streptophyta; Magnoliopsida; Poales; Poaceae
Description: long non-coding RNA (OSAT_LNC001331)
Source: RNAcentral
UACAGUAGAAAUGGUUGAUUUCCGGGUGGCUAGUACUGUUCCAACCGACAUAAGACUGCCAAGUACAUGUGAAGAACAUACGAGUACGACCGCAAUUCUCGUAUGGGCAUAGACCUAGCUGAUUAAGUUAUCUAGCAAAGGUGGUACCUCUGUAUAGUGGUUCUUCUUAAGUCCUCGCGUAGGAGGCAAACUUACGCCGAGCAGGGUGAUUGUGAUAUUUACCGAGGUGCAGGUAAAUAUCUUGAUUAUCUCGCAAGCUGUGUGUGUAUUAUGAAAACCUGAUUGAGAUGACGGGGGUCUCUCAACCAGUUCUCUCCAAAAACCUCGGGAACGCCAGAACUCCUCUCGCUGCUGAUAACGUUACAUUCAGAGUGCAUGGGGACUAGAGUUCAUGGAACAGGUACCACUGAUGUUAGUAACCAAAAUGCUUUGCCAUGACAAGGCUAAUGUGUUUGGCACGUUAUGGAUUGCAGGUAAAGCGUACAUCUACUGCAGUAUGAAUAUUAUUAAAACUAUUCGAAUAGCCGUGCUCGCGGUUAUCGAGCAUUGGGACUCACAAUGACAUCUUGGUUAGAAACAUAAUUUCAAACUUUAUUAAAUACUGUUGCAUAUCAAACAUUUCAGGAUUUCUACUUCUUUAUUCUCAGCUUUCUGCAAUUAAACCUAGCUCUACUCAAAUAUUACCAUUUCAUACAUUUAUUAUUGAAUAUAAUAGCUUGCUGAGUACGUUGUACUCACCCUUGCUUCAACCCCCUUUUCCAGAGUCAUUUUGGAGUUCUUGCCGAAGCCGGGAGUUCAAUCAUAUAAGUUAAUCUCAUUUUAACUUAGUUCUCAAGUAUAGAUUAGAUAGAUGGUUUAAGUCUAUAGCAAAACAUUAGAGUUGAGUCAUUCUAUAGCUUCUGCUGUAAUAGUUAGCCACAAGUUUGUAAAUACCCUAUUAUUUUAUGUAAAGGAAUCUCCUUUAAAACCUUGAUCAAAUGUAUGCAAUGAAGAUCCAGAUCGUUGAACCUGUAUCAAUCUACUGAUCCAGGGCUUGAUACAGUCUAAACAUGUCGGGUUCCGAAUCAUUAGUUUCGGGGCCCGACAGGGAUAGGAUUCACGCCAAUUGUUGUAUUCCUUCGACUAUGCACCAAUGCUUAAUUCAGUGGCAAGGCGACAAGAUAGAGAUUGUACUAGCCGACAGGUCAGUUAAUGUUGCCAGUGUCGAUUUAGCUCUUUGGGAGAUGGAUGGCCUUGAUUGUUUAUCUGGAAAAGUUUGGGAUGGAGAUUUUCUAAAAGUGUCCGAUUCUGAUAUACAGCCACUUGGGUUGUGGCACUUGAAGAUGGGACUUCAGUUCCAGAACUUCUCAUAAUUCAUAUCUUUGGCGUCAACCUCAUACAAGUUACCCACUUCAUGUUAUGCGCCGAUAUCAGCUUGUCAUUACUAGGAUACCAUGCUUGCCAUCAUGAGAAUACCACGCUUGGCGUUUCCUUCCAGCUUACCACCAUAUGCUUUAGACUAUGAUAUCCCGCUUACUAAGAAUACCAUGAUUGACAACUUGCCACUAACUGUCUCAUAUUCGCUUUCCUGGUCUCCGGUGCUAGAUAUUUCCUCUAUUCAAUGCGAGGGUCGAUAACUUUGCCUUUGAAUUAUGUUUCCCAAGGGAACCAACUUGUCCCACUUGACAUGCUUUGACGUCUUCCCAAAUGACUUUACUGCUGAACUUGUUAUUGUCUGAUCGUUAUCCUGCCAAAUCUGAAGCUUCGUUGUUGGAUGUGAUUUUAAUCUGACCUCUGUAGAUUUUCCAUGAACAUAUCACUUGUUUCAUAACUGGGAAUGGCUCUCACGAACAAGCAACUCAGAUUCACUUUCUUUAUAUUCGGUUUACUUUCCACUAUUCUCUUCAUGUUGUCAUCAUUUAGCAUUCAACGUAUUCCUUUACACCUUCAGCCUUGAUGUGUUCUUUCCCGAUGGAUCGAUUGCUAGCAAAGUGCGUUGAACGAUACUAGUGCAAGUGCUUUUAUUCUAGUAGCAUCUGAUGCAGAGCCCAAGGUUGAACCGAGCUUUAGAUUCCAACUAUUCAGGUUUACUUGUUGACUUCUUGGUCAUGUCAGAAAAGUUUCCAUCCUUGUCCUCAUAGAAUCACUUCUACCUGUGGUCAUCUCGCUUACUCGCGAAUUCAUCUGCUUUGAUGACAGGGUGGCUAUUGUAGGGUCAAUUGCUAUCGGGAGUCUUCCUCGAGUGACACAAAUCAUGGUUCUCGUUAUCCUUUAUCAAUCAACUUUCGACCUACUUAUUUUCCCUGUAACCAAACAUCUUUUUCGAUCUCUUCCAUUAAUCACCUUUCGACCUUUCUCAACCAGGUACUCUUCACUCCGGGUGUUGAGGAUGCUUCUGGGGCAAUGAGGUCCUUGGGCGUGCUGUCUUUCAGAGAAACCUUGAAGUAGUUCGUCAAAAGCUAGACUGACAAUUGUUGCCUUUGAUCCGAAGAAGACACAUCUGAAACUCUUAGUCCAAACAAAUGUCUCUUUGGUUGAUCACUUGAUUUUCUUUUCUAUCUACAACUAGGUUAUUUGAUUCAUAAUAGAGUAGGAGCUCACGGAAAUGAGACUCUAGGCCUCCUUAAUCAACAACAAAACGUACACAACUCACAGCACUUGCAAUCUUAACAUGGAUCCUUCAUAAACUUGUCAAACUCAUUCAUUAUCUCAUGUUUUUCUGUUAUUACAUGAUUGACGGGGAACAGCUAUAAAACAAAAGUACUUGAACACCGAUAUAAGAGUAUUAUGGUUGCUUUUGACUAGCACUAGGCUUAACAGGUACUGCAUUUGCUCCAGUGACCACUUGGCGAUUGGUAUGUCUGCUUCCUGUAAAUUGGCGAAAAUGUGGGGGCUGAUUUUGCCUUGGUAGGGGACAGUCCCUCGAGUAAUGCCCUUCUUCUCUACAGUUGAAAUAGACUAUAACUUUUUUACGCUCGGGUUCUUCAUCUUGUACUUGAUUUCUUGGCUGCUGUGCUGGAACAUCCAAAGGUACAACGCAAAUACUGGCCUCUGUCUUGUCAACUGGUGGCUGGGGCUGAAAUUGAGCAUUGACACCUUGUGGUAGUGCACUCACUUGUAACACCAUAAAAAUUAGACCGACAAAAAAAAAAUCUAAACUCCAAAAAUAUGGGCCUUCAAAAACUUUUUGAAUAAAUUGCAUCAUGCCAAUUUUGUUCGAUUAUUUUAUUGGAUUUUGAUUUCAGAGUUUAUAAAUCGCGAAUAAUGGAUAAUUAAUUAGGAAUAAACCCUAAAACUAAACUGGCAAAGUGAAUAAUUGAAAUAUAAUUUAAAAGUAAAGAUGUGGGAGGAUAGAAAUGAAUAAAACACUGUCGCGACCGUAAUUGUGUCGAUUAAAUUUAAAUAUGACGGAAAGGGAAUUUACUCUAAUUGAAAAUCAAGUAAAUUAAAUAAAAAUAAAUUAUGAGUGCAAUUAAUCUAGAGUGGAUCCAUUGGUUGAGAUAACCCAAAUAUUGAAUAUACAUCAUUUAUGCAAAAUUUGGGAUUUAUAGACACAAAUUUACAUAAUAAAUAGGCUAAUAGGGGAUUAAAUAGGAAAUGACACUGUUCAUUGCACCCAAAGUGUUCGACAAGGUCCCCUAGCCCUGCCCCUUCCCCUGCCGUGCCCACCUCGCGCCCCGAGCCGCCGCGCGCCGUUGCCGUCGCGUCCCGUCGUCGCUCCGAGUUGCGCGCCGCCGCUGCCGCGCCGUCGCCGUCGCGUCCCGUCGUCGCUCCGAGUCGCGCGCCGCCGCUGCCGCGCCGUCGCCGCCGCCCGCGCCCCGCGCAUCGCCGCUGCCGCGCCGUCCCGUCACCGCGCCGCGCGCCCCUCGCGUCGCCGCGCCCGCGCCCCGCGCCUCGCGCCGCCGCUGCCGCGUCGUCGCCCAUCCCAUCGCCGCACCGCCGUCCCGUCGUCGUCGCGUCGCCGUUGUGGCGCCGCACGAACGUCGCGCGCCGUCUUGAGCCCCGCGCCCCGCACGCCGCUCGCCCCGCGCGCCGCUCGCCGUCGCGUCCCGCCUCGCGCCCCGCGCUGCUGCCGCGCCGCGUCGCCGUCAUCGUCACACCAAGCCGCACCGAGCCCCGCGCCGCGCCGCCCGUCGAGUCAUGAGGCCGCCCGCCCCUAUAAAAACCCCGGCCCCCUCCUCUUCCCCACCCCACACCCAUUUCCCCCCAUUCUCACCUCCUGUCCUCUACUCACUCCACCGCGCCGCCGCCUCCACGCCGCCGCGCCGCCGCAUUGAGCCGCGCGCCGCCGCUUUGAGCCACCGCGCCGCCUGUGCCACCGUCGUCUGCGUCGCCACCGCCGUCAUCGCCGUCGCCGCCGUCGGUAAGCCGCUGCCCUCCCCUCGCGUCCGCUGCCGCCACCGCCCGGGUGGGCAAGGGAGCCGAGAGAGAGAGAGGGAGAAAGGAGCCGGGAGGGAGAGAAGAGGAGAGAAAAGAAAGGAAAGAAGAAAAAGAGGAGAGAAAAGAAAGGGAAAAGAAAAAGAGGAGAGAAAAGAAAGGAAAAAGGAAAAAGGGGGGGAAAUAAAUAGGAAAAAUUAGGGGGAGAUUUAGAAUAUUUAAAAUAUUAGGAUUUAAUUAUAGGGUUAACUAAAAUCUAGUAUUUGCAAAGUAAUACUAUAAUCGUAGAUGUAUUUAAGAACUAAACGAUUAGGUGAAUUCCCAUAGAUUAUUAUAGAUUAUUUUUAGUAAUCUUUAUAAGAAAUCAAUUCGCGGUAGUAAUCUAGAUGUAAUUAAGAGCUAAAUAAUUAGAUGAAGUAUUAGGACGUAAUUUCAAAUCACAAAAUUUCUUAGGAAACACAAAAUAUCUUGGGAGGAAGAAUAAUUCCACUUCGCAAAUAAUAUAGCCGAUAUAGAAUUCGCCUCUCGCGCUCGUUUUUCAAUCCGGUCAUUAUUUGGAUUUUGUUUGAAUUCUAAUUGAAUUCAAAUUGUUCUUUCACACGUAAUUAUAGAGACCGAGGGAGCCGCGGAUCCGGGUGAAGGCCAAGACCCGCAAGACCUUGAGCAAGGCAAGUCAUCACUAUUCUUUGAACACGUUGAUCCCAAUUGCGAAAUUAAUUUUUGUUUACAAAUAAGAUUGCAUGCAAUGAUGAACAUCCUAUUUGUGAUUAUGCCAUGCCUUGAUUAUUGUUCGCAUUUAAAUCCUUGUAACCAUGAUUACGUAUGAGUCCCUAGUCGAUUAUGACAUUUGCUUAGAAAUGCUACACUAGAAUAUUGCAUAGUCAUAUUUGUCAAAUAUUAUAUGCUUGGGCAAUGUCGUAGGCUCUCCGGACCUUCCAUUAUAUUUGAGAGAUGAAGUGAAUAAUCCAAGUCAUCAAAAAAGCAUAAUGAAACAUCCGACGCCUUGAGAGAGGAAUUUUGGAGACAUUGCUAGGCCCUUAGCCUGCCAGUCAACUUCAGCCUGAGAUGUGCCCGUCAAACCACUCGAAGGCGGCGACCAGAUGUGUUACACAUUCAGGAGACUUGACAAAAAUGGCUAAAGAUCUACAACCUCUCAAAUAUUCCUAACUCAUACUCAUGUGAAUCUAGUUCCCAGGAUGUGCACUAGAUUCACACUUUCAUCUUAAGCAUGAUUAUACAUAGCAAACACAACUAAGAUGAAAGAAACUUAAGACUUACAACAACUUAAUAAUUACAUGGGCCGACCGGCCAAAUAGACUUAUUAGAGAACAACAGAAGCUUGACUACCCAAUCACAAGCACACCGACUAGGGGUUUACCCCAUUAAGUUCUCAUCCUAGAAGAAGCAAUCAGAACCCGCAUCACUCAAAGACUAAGACUAAACCUGCAAACAAAGGGUUAUAUCAACAGCAAGAGUCAGUACAUUAAACAAAUUAAUGUACUGGCAAGCACAAGUCAAUCCUACUAUACUACAUGUAAGGCAUAUAUUCAAAGGAAGGCAAUAUGUAGUUCAAUUUCAGCAUAAAGCAAGUUUUGUUUCGCAAUUCUUUUGUAAAGGAGUUGAUGCUUCAAUUAACAAAGACAAGUUUUAAGUUUCAUUAUUAACUUCUUCAUAAUUCCAUCAUAAACAAUCUCUUAUUGCCAUACUUAACAAUAAGUCAUAAUGUAUCACCACAUACACAACUCAACACAUUUAUCAAUUUCAAUCCAAUGUCACAAGAUCACAUUUUUAAAACAUAGUCUAUACUCAUGACACAUCACCAAAGCGCUCAUGACCGUGAGCACGGCUAAUCGAUUAGUUUAAAGAACUCUGCAGAGUUUGUACAGCUUUACCCACAUGAUAUGAACUCUCUAGUUUGUUUUGAGUUUGCAAGACUCCACCACACUCUUCAUGUUGAAUGUGAUCUAGAGGUCAUAACGAAGCCUUUACACUACUUAGAGCCUAGCCUUGCACCAGCACGAUACGUGUUCCUCCAUCCUAGGCAUACUUGGAAUAUACCUAGAACCGUUAAGUGGCGGGCCCACGCCUUAAACUUAACGCCGUGGUGGCGGACACGACGGGAACCCACCACGUGGCACAAUACUGUUGUAUUGGACAGACUUAGUCACCUAAACUACCACAUCGGGGCAAAUAGGAAGUUCCUCUGAAUCAUCAACUAAUUCCUCAGAAUUAUCGACUAACUCAUACACACCGGCCUACCAGAAUGCAAGGCUAGUCCUAAAUAGAUUAAUCAGCUUAGGCCAUCCCAUACUAGCACAUGUGGAUGUACGGAUAACUUUAAAUGGGUGACACAAGUUCGGUCCUUAUGGAUUUGGGCAAACACUCCCCCUAUUGGUAUGCAACUAACACCAUAUGCACACCACUUGCCGCCCAAGUAUAAAAUCACAUUUUACACAUUUUAGUUCACAAAUACCCAUCAUAUUCAUUUUAUUCCAGCAAGGGUUCAUGUAUCAAAAUUCACAUUUUAAUUAUAGAUGGAAUGAGCAUUUGCAUAUUUCUAAGCAUGGCUAAGCAAGUAGUUACACAUAGAGCAUAUAUAAACCCAUUUGAGCACAAAGAGUGUACUCUAACCAUUUCUAGGUGUUCAAACAGCAAGAGGAUCAAUUAUUCAAGGUGGGGUAUGCAGCAAAUAGGUCAUAACUACCUUAACCCAGUUUCAAAUACCGAUAUAGUCUAAGUUCACAUGCAACUUUGCAAACAAAUAUUUUCAUUCCUCAAAUCAUGGGAUUCAAUGUGUUCAAAGGAUGGGAGGAGAAAACUUGCCUUGAUCAGAGAAAUGUUAGCACCUAAUCCACUCCUUCACCGAUUAUGCAAUUAUCUAGAUAAAGGACACGAUAUACAAUUAAACACCGAAAGAGCUGAAAAUCCAAAAUGCUCUAAAAUGCAUGAUUUGUGCACAGUGGGUUGGUACUGAUCUAAAAUGAAUUUAGGUGAAAUAAUUCCUAUUUUAUUUUAUUCCAUUUGGGAGUUAUGAAUUUUAGAAGUUUUAUCGGUUUAUAGUAGUAUAGUCUUAGGUAGUGUUAUGGAAUACUUUUGUAAAGUGAUUUUUACUAGAUUAGACUUCACAGAAGUGUGGAGAUAUGUUUUCUAAGACUAACACAUUUGGUUUCACAAUUUUUGGAUUUAUAAUGAAUUCUUUAUGCAUUUUACAAGUUAUAACGUGUUAUAGGUGUAUAGUGUAUUAUAUGUUCAUGACUUUUGAGUUAUAGGUUUAGAACAUGCUACUUCCUGUUUAAGUUGAAUAAAAGGAAUAAUUUGGUUAUCUAAAACAUUUUUAGUUCACAUGUUUAUGGUCUUUACUAGUAUGGUUCAUAUUUUAUAAACUAGAGAUGCUCUAAUCUAAACUAGAAAUAUAUUAUAUUAACCUAGAAAUUGUUAUAUGAGCUAAGUUCUUCUAAUUUUAGUGGAUGGGAAUGGAACUAUGGCUUCACUGGUCAUUCAUGUUUUUAUUCUUAUACAUGUUUAUGUAUUACUUAAACAACACUAUGUGUUUAAAUUCUUAUUUCACUAAGUUAAGGUUUUGAUCUAUGUUCUCUACAAAAGGUGCCAAAUUUUAUUUUACUAUGUUCAAGAUAACUAUUUGCUGGUUCUAUAGAAACUUCAUUUCAUUUGGACUAAAAAUAAAUUUUCUACAAGUUUUACAAAUUAAAGGCUACUCUAUGUUAGUAAAUCCUUAUAUGAAUAUUUAGAGACUUUUACUACACAGCAAGUAUAUAAUCUUAUUUCAUAACUUGGAAAUACAUGUUUUAGUGAUCCUACAGAACUUAAGUUUAUUCAAAUUGAAGCUAAAUUGGGUUCUACAUGAAUUUCUAAAGUUUAGCUUAUCUAAAACUAAUCAUUAUAGAGAUAAUAGUUUUAGAGGCAUUUGAUGCAAAGUAAGUAAUUACUUUUAUUUAACCUAAUCAGAGAGUGCCUGAUGAUGAAUCUGCAGUUUUUGAGUUUGUUUCAAAAUGAGUUGAAAUGAAUUUUCUAUGUAUUUUAUAAGUUUGUACAUGUUUUAUGCAUGACUUAUCUUAGAUAAAUCUUAGAGACAUUAUUUGUACAGUGAGUGUCAAGUUUUAUAUUCCUGGAAUAAAGUUCAUAACUUCAAGAAUCUACAGCAGCUGGAAUCACUUCAAAAUGAGCUAUAUUUGAUUUUAUAUAGAUUUUUCAACUUUGUGCAUUUUUCUGCUAAACAUAUAUUUGUUUGGGCAUUUUCCUAAUUAUUCUUCAGAUUUUAAAGGAUGGGUCCACAUGGCUGUGAGGGACCAAUAUGCACAAAGGCCAUUGAGGUUUCUAGGAAUCAACCUGCAGUUCUAGGCCCAUAUGUCGGUGACUAACAUUUUGCGCAAAAGCCCCUGGUUUCUCGGGAAAUAGAUCCCGCAGCCCCCCCUAGUUUUAGGUUUGAAUGCAAAACGAUGCUUGAGUUUUAGUUUAUUUACAGUUUAUUACUGGUCCUACUUGUAAGUGACUGUUCCAGUUGUUACUACAUCCCUGGGGGUCUUUAAAUUUCAAAAGCCAUGCCCUUGCUCUAGACAGAGCAGAGCAGCAGCAUAGCCGCGAGCUUCACAGCAUCACCAGCGGCGAACAGCGGCGAUUCAGCUUAGGCUCCCAAAACAAAAAGUGUAGAGAACAACUGUGCGAACCUAUUGGUGGCUUUCUGGCAAGAUUUGGUGCUCUAUAGCGGCUGUUAGGGUGUUAGAGGCGGUGGCUAAGCUCGGCUUGCACAUGCAUGUGGGUUUUGAGGCUCGAUAAUCGUGCAUGCAUAUGAUAAGGACUCUAGGGACUACUAGGAGGCUCACCAAGAAUCAAACACGGCUCGGCGAAGUCUUGGCGACGGUGUACUGGUUCGGCGACGGCGCGACUGCUAUGGUCGUCGUCGACGAUGUACUCCCGGGCUUCUACUGCAUAGAGAGGGUGCAUGCUUCGGUUUAGUUCAGCACAAGGUAGUUCCAGGCGAAAAAGAUUGCGCCGAAGCUCACCAGAGAAGGAGAAAGAAAGGAAUAGCGUCGGCGGCCAAAGUUGGGAAAAAAAGAAGUGGAUCUCCCACCGUGGUCCACCUCGCGUUGAUGAAGCUCGUGGCGAAGUGGCUCAGCUUGUCACGAACCGUGGAAGCUGGGCGACGAGCAAAGGCGAAGCAGCGGCGUCCAGAGCGCGACAGUGUUCCGAGUUGACGCGGUCGCGUUCCCGGAGAUUGGCUGCACUAAAUGAGGCGUUCUUGGUGGCGUUAGAGACGGCAUUGAGAGGGAAUUAUAGAACGCAUAUUGAACGGAAAUGGAGCUCACCGGAUUUGCGACGGCGUCGAGGACUUCUCUCGCCGGCGCCGGAGUUGGCACCCCCGUUCCCGGCGAAUCCGAGGCUUGGUACCUCGGUUCUUCCGCGAAAUGAGACAAGGGCGAGAGAGAGUGAGAGUUGGUCGGCCGGUCGGGUUAAGUACGGUCGCCGGCGGAGAUGGGGAGGAGGAGCUCGCCCUCUUCCGCGCUCAACGCGUGCUCACACGCGUGGCGCGCGGGUUCUGAGCCGUGGGCCCGUGUGGAGAGGGAUGUGAGGCUGACAAUGGGGUCCCACUAGGCAAGAGAGAGGUGUAGAAGGAGGAAGUGAUGGACAGGGCUGAAGCUAGCCUAAGGCACUGACAAGUGGGGCCAACUCGAUGGAAACUAGGCUAGGGAGAGAGAUAUGGGUAGAAGACUGGUAAACUUGAUUUUUAGAUUAAUUUUCGGAAUUAUUUUCUCCUCUAACUUUGUAACUACAUAAUUCAAUGUGUGGACCAAAUUAAUUAGUGUUGAUUUUACUGGAGGUAAAUGAUUACACCUAGAUUCCAUUUUCUUUGGUUGCACUAAAAAAUAAUGGGUGGACUGCUCACAGAAAUUAAACAAAGAUGGGCUAUUAGAAAGCUAGAUUGAAUUUUUAGGAGGCAUAAACAGAGAAGGAAAAUUCUAGAAAAAUUACAUUUACUCAUGAUAACUAAUCUAGUAUUUGAAUAAAUUAUUUCCCAUGUUCACUUAUGUGCAGUUAAAUGUACUUUUGGAUGAAAUAUGGUUUUAACCGAUUAAAUUUAAUUUGAUUUCUUUUAGUUGUCUGCCUCGACCGAUUAAUUUGAGAUAUCAACUUGAGUGUUAACAUGUUACCAAAUUACAGAGGAUAAGUUUGUGCUAAUCACUGUCCACAUAAAUUUUUCUAUGAUUUUAUCUUGCACAAAAUAUUUUAGAGAAUUAGGAUGACCUUUGUUUGUAUAUGUGUUCCCACUUCAUAAUUGCAUCUAAUAUUAUUAUAGGGAUUACAUUAAACUUCUUUUAGACUGAGAAGAUGAUAUUUGAGUUUAAUAUUAAGUCCACAUGUUAUCACCCAAGAUUAACUAUAAGUUUGUUUAGAGAAAUAAUUCUUUUAGAUUAUGCUCAUGGGACCUAUUAUGGAAUGCAAGACCAAAACUCCAAAUGCACAAAGAACUCGAGCCUAGGCAUGCAUUAUGUACAUGUAUGCUUGGUGACAUUUCUAGUCUAAUGUUGGGAAUGAAAAGAUUUUAUUCUGUUCUCAAAUUAUAAUCAUGCAAUGGUUUAAGUUGGUCAUCACCUAAAUUAAAACGGAAAUUUUUUGCUCUCAAAAUUGGAGAAGUUAACCUCUAACUAUUUUGACAAGAAAUUUUAAGUCCUAAAAUUUCAGGUACGUUAUAGGCAAUUACCUUUGGGAAGGUAAUUGAGAUGCGGCAUGUGGAGACAUAAGCGCCAUAUUGCCAUGAUAAUGAUGACAUGAUUUGUGAAAUUAGGAAAGGAACUAAACACUUGUUUUAGACCGGGGCGGACGGUAGAUUUGGGUGGUAUCCGGGAAAGGCUAGUAUCGUCCCCGGUCAAUUAAGGACCGAGCCAUGAAGUUAAGCAUGAAACGACCCCGUACAAUCACACUUCUCGAAUGGGGAUAGACCUAGCGGAGUAAAUAGCCGAGCGGAGGCAGUAUCCAUGCAUAGUGGUUUCUCGAUGUGUAAGGCAGGGGCUCUACAAUGGUGUCGCCAUUGUUAGGACUGCCAUGUGAUGAGUUGAACAUAAUUAUAACUUAAUACAUGUGUGUGAAUUUUCCCUCCCCGGGUGCGCUAGAACUCCUCUCACUGCUAGAAACUGUGUACGCCUAGAGCGCAUGAGGAUGAAAAGUUCAUGGAGCGGGUACUGCCAAUGCGAGGUUAUCGAAAAGCUUUGCCGUGACGCGUCUCAUGUGUUGAGACAAGGCUCAUGUGUUGGGCAGUCGCAGAGUGUGGGUAAAGUGUACAUCCACUGCAGUGUGAGUAAACCAAAUCUAUUCGAAUAGCCGUGCUUGCGGUUAUUGAGCAUCGGGACAUGUAUUACACUUGGCUAGACUUUAAAUUCUUAACUUGUGUGGGAUGGGUUAUUGCAUGAUGAAUUUUUAUGGUGGACGUCCUCAGAAAACCAUGACGACUCAAUGGCGGGAAGCUAUCCUUGGGAUCACAAUGGAUGGUGGACAGAACCGUCGUUGUUUAAAUACAAACACUGGUACUAAAAUUUGAUCAGUCAAUGCUAGGUCUUAGGCUUGUGAAAAGAAUUACAAAAUUUGCUUUGCGCAAAAGAACCAUAGCCAUCCUUUGAAAUACCCCUAUCAUAUGCAUUGUUGAUGUGGUGGCUUGCUGAGUACGGUUGGUACUCACCCUUGCAAAUAUAAACUUAAUCAGAGGCGGGACUUGAAGCUUCGGAGGAUCCCUAUGCCUAUUACCAGGAGGGUGAUGAAGACGAUGGCGCUCAGUAGGACUUAGUACGGUCGUUGCCUGUGGCAUUGGCGUGCCGCUGUCUUAUUUCCGCUGCUUUAUCUAUUUCUGCUUUUGGGAUGUAUUCCGGACCGCCCGGUCCGAUGAUUUAAGAUAAUGCCUGCGGGCUUAUGUUGUAAUAAUUCGCACUAGACUCUCGUGUAUGUGCAUUUGGUAUUUCAGCUAUGAACUCGUGUGUACCAGACUACUUGAUCCAGGGAAAUGGUACUGUUUACACGAUUGAUUCCUGUUAUAAAAAUGGGGGUCCACAUCACUGGAGUUGGAGCUGUUGCAACGCGGGCUAUAGGAAUGCUUCGGGAUGCAUGGAUGACAAUUCGCUGAGGAGCAAGCUUCUGAUUGUGGGGAGUUGCGUGGACUGACGUGCUGGUAGCUAUGUUUCUCGGUUUUGGGCACUUGUCAGUGAAAUGACACAUUUCUUGACAAUUGAAGCAACAGAUAUCUUUCCGGACUCAGUAUUUUCUUUUCUCAUUUUGAUUCCUCUGUCCUGGCACUGGAGUUAGGCUGAAACUGUAAUCUUGGCGAGGAUUGGUGUUGCCUUGAUGCUUCUCUCCAUUAGAACGGGCAUGUUGGUUGGCCAUCUUCUUCGUCAGCAGAAAACUGAGUUGACAAUCUUUUGGUACAUGAUCAGUUCCUUCACACAAGAAACAAGUGAUCCUGCUCAUGGGGCACUCGCCGGGUGGAUGGUCUUCCUUACAAUGAAAGCAGGUAGUGGCACAUGAGCUGGCAACAUGACCGAUUUCUCCACAAUGAGAGCAUGCCUUAUGUUCCAUUUUAUUCUGGUUGAACCCUUGGGGAGACUUCUCAUCUUCAUCAUCUGAGGAGACUUGAUCUGAAUCUUCACUAUCAGACACUCUACCUCCAUUAGCUAAAAGAUGCUCUGUCAACUAUGGUGCACCUCGGAAGGAAUUUCUUCUCUGACGUUUUGUCAUUCCUGGUGGAGGCCAUUCUGUACUGGUAAUGAUCAUCUUACGGACUUCAUCUUCGGUUCGCAUUGGUGCUUUUCUUUUCUGCUGAGGACAGUUCCUUGCAUAGUGCCCUUGUUCAUCACACAUAAAACCAAUGAUACUUGCUUCUUUUGAGUCAACAUGUGACAUGGCAUGAGGGGCCUUCUGGGAUGUUGGCGGUGCGCUGACUUGUGGUGUGAGUGCUUGGAUUGCCUCCAACUGCGCCUGAGGUUGCAUCUGACUCGGGUUCAGAAUUGGCAUCCGAUGCUGCUGUAGUAUCUCUAUAAGCAAUUUGUUCUGGUUAAUCAAGUGUUGGACCACUGCCACACAAUUGGUGUCUGGUGCUUCAUUCACUCGGGAGCUUGAGGUACCCAUUUCCUGACUUCUGACCUUAUUGCCUUUCUCAUUAUCCGCCAUCUGUUGCAGGUUUUGGAGAGGGAGAGAGGAAAAACAAAGGGGAGAGACAGAUCAGAAACUAAGGAUAGGACCUUAACAGAGCUACACUUUUUCUGUUGUGAUGUAUGUUAGGCUUAUUCUGCAAGUUGAUUACGCAAACAACCUAGCAUGGUUACAUCACACCCCACUGAUGCAAACCACGCGCUACACACAAGAGCAAGGAAACACACGACUAACGAAACCCUAGAGGUGGCUUAGGUUCUGCGACGGGUUCUCCAAGAUCUUCACUCCUGCUUCACAUCUGGCUUCACUGCUUCCCUCGCUUCGCUAGCAGAUCCAACAGUCUUGCGGAGCUUCGGCAGACAAUUGACGACAUCUUCUUCUUCGCAAAGCUGACCACCUAGUACUAGUUGAAAUUCGAAGGAGGAAGAAGGGAGUAAACCUUUUGCAAAUAGCAUUAGGCAAAGGAGAAAAAAAAGGAACUUUCGCAAAUAGUUUUAUUUAUAAAAUAUGUCCUUAGGUUUUAUCCACUUGGCUUAACCUACAGUCAACCAGGCUCUGAUACCAGCUUGUCGCGCCCGGAAAAAUACCUUUUUCCAGAACGCUAGUGUAUUAAUCCCCGUCCCAGGAAAAGCCGGGGUACACCACACAAACAUGAUAUAAAAGACACAUCUUUAUUAUAUCGCUAAUAUUUACAUUAUUACAAAGGCACUUCAGGCCUGACAAUCAAAAAUAAAUAGCAGCGGACUAGCGGGCCUACGGCUCCAUCUUCACAGGCGCUCAACUGAGGUAUAAGCUAGGACUCCACAAAAGACUUCUCCCAAGCUUCUCUUACUGAAGGGGGAAAGAUAGAGCAAGAAUGAGUACAACCACAGUACUCAGCAAGUCACACCGGUAGAUGCAUGAUUAAUGCAAGAGGGUACAAGGGGUAAUAAUAAUAGGGUUGGGUCUUGCAGUAAAGAGCGUUUAAAAGACACUUAGUUGCUCAAAGCUAUUUUGUAAACAUGAUCCUAGAGCUACACAAUAUUAUUAAUCAAGGCCGUGAACCCUCACGAACCUGCCUUAACCCAAGGCCUACGAUGAUUCGGACCGAACUGGCAACCCGACCUGGGUCCCAGCUCGUCCCAAGCCAACCCAGGCCAACCAUUCCAUAUUUUAGUUGUUAAGCAAAUUUUAAGAAUUAAACCACUAACUUGGGUACAUUGCUAGGCUUGCCCAUAUCCGAGGGCACGGCUAUGUGAAUAGAUUACACUCUGAUCAGAGGUGCACAUCUUUACCCACAAGACACGCCUUUACUCUGCAUUCCAUUGCAAUUGGAACCCAUCAUAAAAAACGUGACAUAACCCUUUACCCAUCCUAGCCGUGAACAAAAGUACCGAUCCAACCCUGCCUACGGCCGGUAUCCCGGGACAGGCAGGCCAGGAUUGAGCCCCUAGCAAUAGGAUCUAGACCGGGUGCGCCACACGCAUAGGGGUGAGACCACCCGUGUACUAGUCCAGUGCCAUGGCAUCUCGACUAGCGGGCACCGACCCGUGUAGCCUUCAUUUGCCUAGACAUCUCGAUUACCGAGCCACAGCUCGCGUAGCCUUCAUUUGCCUCAGAGAUAUCCAUCGUCGCAACGACUUCAUCCAUCUCUAUCCGUGUCCUUUUGUUCAGGACUAGACUGAGCACCGAGUUAAGCCUUACCCAUUAGACAUACGGUUAGUACGGUAGUGCUUUGCAACAGAGGCCCGAGCUUAAUCCUUAUAUUGGCCGGGGUGCUACUUCCCACAACUGGCAUGCACCCAAACCCCACCGGAAAACAGGUUUUAGGGGUUUUGAAAGAGGAAGAGACGGGUAUGUCCAAUUCCACCAUAAGCCAACCAUUUCAUAGUAUCCAAGUGAUAUGAGAAUUCCCAAAGUCUAAAGUUAUAAAACCACCUAAUAUUGCCUAAUUAAUCAGCGAAGCAUCUACCUAAAUUCAUACUAGUGGAACUAUAAAUAGAGUACCCACUAGUUGGGUUUUAUUUGCCUAGGGUACGCAAGGUGAUAAUAACAAUUGCAAUAAUAAGGCUAUAACAAGGAUUAAUAGGUAAUGCUAAAUAAAACAGUGGUAACACGGAAAUUUGAAUAAAGUAGUAAUGCAAUAAUUCAAAUCAAAAUAAUUUUAUAAACUAGGAUUCAAUGUGCUCAAGGAUGAUGCGACUUGCCUUGCUCAGAGAGAACGGCCUUCCGAACCUUCGGCGACGACCGUGAACCACGCUUCGGGAACCUCCGGAACGACAGGAGCUACGCGAAGCACACAAGCAGAGCUAAACCCUAUAAAGAAGCAAUAACAAUACAUAAAAAGAAAGCACAGGGUUCUUUAGGUUAUAACAAACAUUAGGAGACUUGAACGGGUCAAUUCAGAGUUCGUAUGACCAAUGUAUGGUCAUCCGAAGUUUAAUGCUGUUAUAUGGAGAUUUGCGGAUUAUUAUAAUUAGGUUUUGCAACUACAAAACAUGUGUAAGCGCUAGCCUAGAAAAGACAGGAAGGCUGCGCCGUUGACAUGCAGACUCCACAUGUCAACCUAAAGGACCACGGUAGACCGAGUACACAGAGACGGUCCACGGGUCGACGGAAGCGGACCCCGUGUGCCAACCGAGGCGAGUGGCCGACAAGCAGACUCCACUAGACACCACGCGGGCUGCACACAUGGAAACAACGCGGCUACCGAGCGGCUCACUAACACGAUCACCACACGCACACACGAACGACUACCUACACCGGUACAAGGGUACCGGGGUCGACAAACGCACGACGGGUACGGGGCGACACCGAAAGGACGAGGACGGGAGCAGCGAGAAGGGGGACCUUACCACCACGCGACGAGGCGUGGGAACGACAACGACGAACGAGCGCGGCGGAGACGGCUCGGGGACGACGGAGGCAAACGGCGAGGGAAUGACUUCGGCGGUGAUCCUUGCACGAAGGCGAGACGUGGCCGGCGCAACGCUUGACGACGCGGAGGCGAGGACGAAGACGACGACGGGGCUGCGGCACUUGACGGAGCGAGGACGACAAACGAGAACGGCUUGACGGAGGGACGAACGCCACGACGACCGGGAACGACGAGAGGACGACAACGACGAUGACCAGGGCCGGCGAGGAGACGGCGAUGGCAGCCGGCAGCAGCUGCACAGAUGCGAGGACGGCGUGGAACAUGCCGCUGUGAUGAUGACGAUGGUGGUGGCGCAGCGAGACGAUGUGCCGGGCGACCGACAGGACGUCGACGUCGAGGACGAACGGUGACGACGACGACGGACAGCGGAGGGGUUCGGAUGGAGGGAAGGCGAUGCCGAGGACGUCGUCGCCGGCUCGCCGCUGCGAUGCCGGAGGAGACGGCGACGUCGGCCGGCGCACGGGAACGGUGGAAGGGGUUGCCGAAAGAACUCCGGCGAGGCGGAGGGCGAGACCGGAGCGGGCGACGGCGUUCCGGCGAAACCGAGGGUAGGCCGGGGUGGAGGGCGACGCGGCGAUGUCGAGGGAGGAUGGCGACGACGACAGUCGCUACACCGGCGAGGCGGCACAGGCGGCUGGAGGCGGUGGAGUGGUGGCGACACCACUGGUCGUCGACGAGGACGUGGCUCCGAUAAUUUCCCCGCGAAACGGAGGCGACGCCGGGGAAGAGGAGGCGGCUACGAGGCCGCUGGGGGUGACGGCACGACCGGACGGCACUCCGGCGAGGAGGGAGAGGCGGCUGGAGGCGACCGGCGGCACGGGAGAAAGAGGAGGACGGCGGGGAGAGGUGGUGAGGCCACGGGAUCGAACGCGGGAGGGGGCUAAAACUGGAGAACGGAUCGAGGGGGUUCCAUUUUAUAGGGGAGGAGAGGGAGCUGGCCAAGGGAGAGGCGGGGAACGGUGGCGAAAUUCGUGGCCGGCGGCCGUGGAAUGUGGCCGGGGUUGGCGCGGGCGUUCCCGACGAUUGGGGUCACGAAUCAAGGGGGAAAUAUGGGGGAAAGACAGAGGAAUCAAUAGGGAUUAAAACCCCCUAAUCAAUUUUGGAAACCCUGGUUUGAAUCGCGUGGAUUUUGGGGAGGUUUGGCGCUAGGGUUUGCACAGGAGAGAGAGAGGAAGGAGGCCGGGCGGGAGGAGGACGACGACUCGGCGCGUGGGACCCACGCGGUCGCGCGAUCAGCGCGCGUGAGGGGGGGUGGGCGGCUUGGGAGGCUGGGGCGGCUGGGUGGGGUGGCUUGGGCCGGGAGGCGGCCCAGGCGGGAAGGGAGGAAAAGAGAGCUGGGCCGAGGGGAAAGGGGAGGCCCAAGAGAAGGAGGGGGAGAAGGAGAGGGAGAGAAAGAGAGGGAGGAAGAGAGGACUUUGGCCGCGGGCCGAGAGAGAGAGAGAGGAAGGACUUUGGGCCAGACUUGGCCCAAAGGAGGAAGGAGGAUUAUUUUUAGGUUUUUCUUUUUAAUAAACUUUGAUAAUUGUUUUUGUUGCUUAAUAAAUAUUUCCUGUGCUCUGAAAAUUCAAGUAAAAUUUGAGGGCUCAUUUUAGACCAAGGAGAAUUUAACAAAAAUUCUCCGGGCCACAUUCGAAUUUUUCUUAUACGUAUUUUAGUGUUUGCCAAUUUCUUUUCGAAUUUUAAUUAAUUCUAUUAUUUCUUUUAGAAAAUGAUUUUUAUUUCGAGAUGAAUUUAUCAGGACGUGACAAAUCCACCCCCCUUACAGGAAUCUCGUCCCCGAGAUUCGAGGAGGCUAGCAAGAAGAUAGGUUGGGUGGUCUUCUCUUCUUGUCUGACUUCUUCCGCUCCGUGUUCUAUAAUAAACUUGCCUAACAAAACUUCUCCACUCUAGACUGCUUGGCUCGAUCUCCUGUUCCAGAUGGAAUCUUCUCUUCACCUGACUUUUCCAUGGUUGCACCUCUAGCUGACUUCGACUGGGUUGUGGCACUUGAAGAUGGGACUUCAGUUCCAGAACUUCUCAUAAUUCAUAUCUUUGGCGUCAACCUCAUACAAGUUACCCACUUCAUGUUAUGCGCCGAUAUCAGCUUGUCAUUACUAGGAUACCAUGCUUACCAUCGUGAGAAUACCACGCUUGGCGUUUCCUUCCAGCUUACCACCCUAUGCUUUAGACUAUGAUAUCCCGCUUACUAAGAAUACCAUGAUUGACAACUUGCCACAAACUGUCUCAUAUUAGCUUUCCUGGUCUCCGGUGCUAGAUAUUUCCUCUAUUCAAUGCGAGGGUCGAUAAUUUUGCCUUUGAAUUAUGUUUCCCAAGGGAACCAACUUAUCCCACUUGACAUGCUUUGACGUCUUCCCAAAUGACUUUACUGCUGAACUUAUUAUUGUCUGAUCGUUAUCCUGCCAAAUCUGAAGCUUCGUUGUUGGAUGUGAUUUUAAUCUGACCUCUGUAGAUUUUCCUUGAACAUAUCACUUGUUUCAUAACUGGGAAUGGCUCUCAUGAACAAGCAACUCAGAUUCACUUUCUUUACAUUCGGUUUACUUUCCAGUAUUCUCUUCGUGUUGUCAUCAUUUAGCAUUCAACGUAUUCCUUUACACCUUCAGCCUUGAUGUGUUCUUUCCCGAUGGAUCGAUUGCUAGGAAAGUGCGUUGAACGAUACUAGUGCAGGUGCUUUUAUUCUAGCAGCAUCUGAUGCAGAGCCCAAGGUUGAACCGAGCUUUAGAUUCCAACUGUGCGGGUUUUCUUGUUGACUUCUUGGUCAUGUCACGAAAGUUUCCAUCCUUGUCCUCAUAGAAUCACUUCUACCUGUGGUCAUCUCGCUUACUCGCGAAUUCAUCUGCUUUGAUGACAGGGUGGCUAUUGUAGGGUCAAUUGCUAUCGGGAGUCUUCCUCGAGUGACACAAAUCAUGGUUCUCGUUAUCCUUUAUCAAUCACCUUUCGACCUACUUCUUUUCCCUGUAACCAAACAUCUUUUCCGAUCUCUUCCAUUAAUCACCUUUCGACCUUUCUCAACCAGGUACUCUUCACUCCGGGUGUUGAGGAUGCUUCUGGGGCAAUGAGGUCCUUGGGCAUGCUGUCUUUCAGAGAAACUUUGAAGUAGUUUGUCAAAAGCUAGACUGACGAUUGUUGCCUUUGAUCCGAAGAAGACACGUCUGAAACUCUUAGUCCAAACAAAUGUCUCUUUGGUUGAUCAGUUGAUUUUCUUUUCUAUCUACAACUAGGUUAUUUGAUUCAUAAUAGAGUAGGAGCUCACGGAAAUGAGACUCUAGGUCUCCUUAAUCAACAACAAAACGUACACAACUCACAGCACUUGCAAUCUUAACAUGGAUCCUUCAUAAACUUGUCAAACUCAUGUUUUACCUCUUGUUGAAGAUCGAAACCGAUGCAACUCAACCCGAAAGCGUCGUCAAGCGUUGCGCCGGCAGCAUGUCACGACUCAAGUUCUCCCUGAGCAUUUGGUUCAUAAUGUGCAGCCAGAUCAAUCGGUGAUACCCCAAGUUAUUCCUUAGCAUUUGGUGCGCAACAUACAGCCAAACUUUCAGAAUUAUCAGGGGGGCAAUUUGAAUUACCAAUAUCAGCCUUCGUCGCAACAGGUUCAGUAUCAGCAAGGAGGAUCAGCUCAGCCUCAGUUUGCUCCUCAGUACAAUCAAUUUGAGCCUAUACCUCAACAAGCACAAGGGGUGCCUCAGCAGAGACCUUGGGCCGAUAUGUUUGCAGAUGUGAUGAGAGAGCAGUUUGGGCUUAAGCCAAAGGAUACUCGAAACUUGUAUCGGCAUCCGUACCCUGAGUGGUUCGAGACGGUUCAAUUGCCUAACCGAUACAAAGUUCCAGAUUUUUCAAAAUUCUCAAGGCAAGACAGUGUUUCAACCUAUGAACGUGUCAGCCGAUUCUUAGCUCAGUGUGGUGAGGCAUCGGCUGUUGACGCUUUGAGGGUCAGGUUGUUUCCUUUGUCUUUAUCCGGAUUGGCUUUUACUAGGUUUUCUUCUUUGCCAUACAAUUCAAUUAACAGUUGGGCCGAUUUGGAGAACAAUUUCAUAGUUACUUCUGUAGUGGGGUUCAUGAGAUGAAAUUGUCCGAUCUAAGAGCAAUUAGACAAAGGCAUGAUGAACCUGUGCAAGAUUAUAUUCAGAGAAUCAGAGAGAUGAGGAAUAUGUGCUACAGUUUGAGUCUGACUGAUGCCCAGUUAGCUGAUUUGGCUUUUCAGGGUUUGAUAGCUCCAAUCAAGGAGAAAUUCUAGUCUCAGGAGUUUGAUAGUCUAUCACAUCUUGCAUAGAAGGUAACCCUACAUGAAUAAAGGUUUGCAGAAGCCAAGAAGAACUUCAAAAAGAUCAAUCAUGUCUAUCCUUACAUGUAUGGAUCCGAUGAUGAUGAUGAUGAUUCCGAGGUAGCAACAGCCGAGUGGGUCAGAAGCAAGAAGGUUAUACCAUGCCAAUGGGUAAAUAGUUCUGGAAAAGAGGAGAGGUAUGACUUUUGACAUCACCAAGGCUGAUAAGAUUUUCGAUCUGUUACUUCGGGAGAAGCAGAUUCAACUUCUUGCUGGUCACACAAUCCCAUCGGCUGAGGAAUUGGGCAAGAGAAGGUAUUGCAAGUGGCAUAACUCUGGGUCUCAUUCUACUAAUGAUUGCAAAAUAUUCAGAUAGCAGAUUCAGGCAGCUAUUGAGGGAGGAAAAAUCAAGUUUGAUGAUUCCAAGAAGCCGAUGAAGGUCAAUGGCAAUCCUUUUCCUGUCAAUAUGGUACAUACAGCUGGCCGAACAGCCGAUGGAGGAAAAACUCGAGGUUUUCAGAUGAAUUCGGCUAGAAUUAUUAAUAAGUAUCAGAGGAAGUAUGAUAAGCAGCAACAGGAGAGGUAUUAUGUAACAUACCGAAAAUUAACCGUUUUCUAAUUGUGCAUCAUGCCGAGUCUUAUAUUUUUAAUAGCAUCCUAAACCUAGGAAAAUAUAAUUAGAGGGACCUUCUAAAACUAACUUGCAUAAAAUCCUUCUCUGGUAUUUUAUUUCUUUUGUAUUUUUCAUUUAAAAAUAUAUUUGGUUAAAUUGAGGUAUUUCUUGAUUUGGUUUUAAUUUAAAACCUUCUUUCGACUAAAACUCUUUUAUUCAAAUUUAGUUUGAAAAACCCCUUUCUAUUUUUAUGGAUUAUGGUCCAAGAAACCUUCCCAAUUUUGCCAUUGAACCUAAACCAAAGUAAUUCCAAUUUUAGUGGGAUUAUUUGUUAGCCCAUCCUUUGAUCUUAAACAUAUCCUUUGAUUCUUGAUCCAAAUUCUUCCUUUUGAUCUAGCUGCUGAUCUAAUUCCUGUGGCUUGAUUUCCUUCUCGGCACAAGAAUAAUAUUACUACAAACAUUGUGAAUAAUUGUUCUUGUGCUAAGAUAAUAGAUUAUAUCCUUGUCAUCCAAAUCUCCUAUUAGCCUCAAACAAUUCUUUGAAACCCAUGCCAUAUAUUUUGAGGCUAAAAAUCCUAUCUAUCUUCCUCCAUUUAUUUUCUCUCCCUCUCAUUUGAGUGCAUCAAAUAAAUUCCGUUAUAUUCUAUCUCUCAAAAUAUUGCACUCAAACUAGAAAAUAUCUCUUUUGGAAAUUAUAUCCAAAUAUAAUUUCCUUUCAAAAUUCCCUAUUCAAAUUCCUUCCAAAUUCUAAUCUCAUCCAAUUUCUAUCAUACAAACAACCUACAAAAUUUAGAAUUGAUUUUUAAAUUUAAUUGGGCUAAAAUCCCUUUGUCUCUUCCUUUUGGCCCAUCUUCCUCUUCGGCCCAGCCCAGCCGAGCCGCCCCUUCCUCCUCCCGUGGGCGCUUCCAGGCGCCGCCAUGCGCCGCUACUGCCGCCGUGCACAACUCAGCUACCGCCGCUGCCAUAUUGCCUUCGAUGCCAAGCAAUCGCCGCCAACGUCCUGCCGUCGCCGCUAAGGCAUCGCCGCCGACGUCAUCUGCCACCUCACGCCGCCGACGUCAGCCUCUGGAGCAAACCGACAUCUCCAACCAAUCACAAGCCACAGCCGGCGCCGUCGCCUUCCUUCUCCACGUCGCCGCCACCAAGACCAACUCUAUCUUCUCCUCUACAACCGACCUUCACAACCGACGUCCGACGCCUAUAAAUAGAAGGCCAGCCCUCCCCUUUUCUCCACAUAUGAGCCGAGCUCCUCGAGCUCUCUCUCUCUCUCCUGUUAUGUCUAGCCACCACCGGCCACUGUCGAUCUCCCUCACCGGAGUGUUUCUGGCCAAUCCCUUGCGCCAUCAGGUUUGCCUCGACGAGGCAAACUCAUUUUCCUAGUUUCCCCUUCCUUUCCUCUUCCGAAACCAACCAUCACAGCCACCUCCUCUUGUUGCCGGAGCAAGCUCUUGCCUGCGCCGUUCCAGCCUCCUCUCUCACUUCCUCUGCCGACUGUCACCCUCCCCGGGUGCGCGUCGCUCGGGAACAUGUUUUUCCGCCAACGUCGCAGCCUCUCAACCACCGGAGUAUCGAUGCCCCUCCUCUCCCUUCUCUCUGUUUGUUCGUGGAGAAAGAGAGAAGAAGCAGGAAGAAGGAAGAAGAAGGAAGAAGAAAGAGAGAAGAAAAAGAAAAAGGACAGCUACUGACAGGUGGGCCCCUACAGUACUAUUUCACAUUUUCUAGAUUUGAUUCAAAAUCCAAACUUUAGAAGCCCAUAUCUCCUAAACCGUAGAUCCGAUUCCAGUCAAACUUGGACCUAAAUUCAUCUAAAUUCAAACCCUACCUUUUGAUACCAAAUUUGCUAUUUAAAUAUUUUAUUUGAAUUUCCUUGAUUUAUUUAAAUGCCAUUUGCCUUUCAAAUAUCUCCUGUUACUCCAAAAUACCCGUUAGCCAGUAAAAAGCCGCCGAUUGGAACUUUACGCCUUCUAUGGAGACGUUCGUGGUCUAUUGGCCCCGACAUGGAACCAUUGGUUGUAAAGCCCGGCAUAAACCAAACCCAAGGUCGAAGUGCUGCUCCUGGCACCCCACGCCUUGAUGCAUAUAGCGGUCGGAGCUUCACUAUUCUAUCGACCUCCACAGCACGCCACACAGUUAGCUCUCGGGCUCUGUGUGAUCCUAGCCGCUCCGCCGCCACCCACGGUUGUCGGAGUAACACUUCCGCCCCACUAAAUUAACCUGCACCUACCUCAUAUCCCUCUAGCCGUUAUACUGUCCGUCAACACCGACUAGAGAAGACACCAAAUCUAGUCGUUAUACUAUUCAACACUAGCAUCGACUAGUACACAACCAAACCCUAGCUGACACCUUACUAGUUAAAUCCCAGCCGUCAUCCAAAUUCCACACCCACCAGUAUCACCUAUCCACCAUACUCUCAGCCACCUACUCUCCAACUACCUAGAACCUAUACAUAAAAUAUAGAGCCUAGCCGAUAUGUUGUCCUAUCCCCAAUUGGCUUAAAUAUAAGCGACAUUUGUUGCUUGAUCCCCUUUCUAUCUUAGCCUCCAACCCUUUAGAACCCAUACAUGAAAUAUUAGCCAAUAAUCCCUAUAUCUUACAAAGGAGAUAUUUAUACCCCAAACCCAGCCUUUCUUGCCCUUCAUCGCUUUCUUGUUAUUUUGUGACUUUUAUUGAAUUUGGUUCUUUCUCUUCUUUAGUAGAGUCUAUUUUGGAUGGCAGCCUGUGAUAUUUCGAGGAUCGAAUAAUCAGGUUGCCUAUCUUGGAUUUAUUUGCGUUGGAGCAAGGCAAGUUAUUAUUCCUCCCCUUUGAGCAUAAUAAUCCUAUAUUCUAUAUCUCCAGUAUCUUGUGCAUUAGCCUUACAUGAUUUUGAAUGCAUAACUUGAACAUAUAGCAAACCAGAUAUAUGCUAGAUUUUGCUUAGCCAUGCCUAGUUAGAUUGCAUAAAAUAUAAUAAACUUAGAUUGGAACAAUACGGAAGAAAUGGUUGAUUUCCGGGUGGCUAGUACUGUUCCAACCGACAUAAAAUUGCCAAGUACAUGUGAAGAACAUACGAGUACGACCGCAAUUCUCGUAUGGGCAUAGACCUAGCUGAUUAAGUUAUCUAGCAAAGGUGGUACCUCUGUAUUGUGGUUCUUCUUAAGUCCUCGUGCAGGAGGCAAACUUACGCCGAGCAGGGCGAUUGUAAUAUUUACCGAGGCGCAGGUAAAUAUUUGAGAUAAAUUGUGAUAUCACAAACUGUGUGUAUUGUGAAAACCUUGUUGAGAUGACGGGGGUCUCUCAACUAGUUCUCUCCAAAAACCUCGGGAACGCCAG